ACGGUACCCGUAGAAGAAGCCCCGGCUAACUUCGUGCCAGCAGCCGCGGUAAUACGAAGGGGGCUAGCGUUGUUCGGAUUUACUGGGCGUAAAGGGCGCGUAGGCGGUGCAAUAAGUCAGGCGUGAAAGCCCCGGGCUCAACCCGGGAAUUGCGCUUGAUACUGUUGCGCUUGAAUCCAGGAGAGGAUGGCGGAAUUCCCAGUGUAGAGGUGAAAUUCGUAGAUAUUGGGAAGAACACCAGUGGCGAAGGCGGCCAUCUGGCCUGGAAUUGACGCUGAGGCGCGAAAGCGUGGGGAGCAAACAGGAUUAGAUACCCUGGUAGUCCACGCCGUAAACGAUGAGUGCUAGACUCGGGAAGCUUGCUUUUCGGUGUCGACGCUAACGCAUUAAGCACUCCGCCUGGGGAGUACGGCCGCAAGGUUAAA
This 425-nucleotide ribosomal RNA is filed under the name Rhodospirillaceae bacterium. Its description in RNAcentral is "bacterial SSU rRNA". It matches the Rfam family "Bacterial small subunit ribosomal RNA", at positions 472 to 898 of the family's 1533-position model. The record is from RNAcentral. Lineage: Bacteria; Pseudomonadati; Pseudomonadota; Alphaproteobacteria; Rhodospirillales; Rhodospirillaceae.